This is a microRNA precursor of Medicago truncatula (barrel medic), 89 nucleotides long. It matches the Rfam family "MIR319 microRNA precursor family". The record is from Rfam. Lineage: Eukaryota; Viridiplantae; Streptophyta; Magnoliopsida; Fabales; Fabaceae.
CAGAAAUGGGAGUUCCUUGCAGCCCAAAGCGCCAAGUGAGAAUUCUACUGGCAAAUUAUGUUUUGGACUGAAGGGAGCUCCCAGUUCUU